AUUUUGGGUUAAUACAUCAGGCAAGUUAGUAUUUACAGCUCGAUCGAGGAAAAUUGAAAAUUUGUAGAGAAUCUCGUAAUAAAGCCAACAGCCCGAAACUCUAACACACUCUAACAUACUUCAAAGCAGCGGUAUUUCUAAAAGUAAUCCAGUCACACGCUAUCCUACAGAAAUUCCACGUUACAACUACAAACUUUAAUGUAUAUCUUGUUUAAAUGAAAACCAUGUAUGUUUCAACUUCCAUCUUAUAUUUAUCAAUACUCCAUGUUGCUUUGUCACCUGACACCUCAAAACACAUUGAAACGGAUCCUUGCCUGGAUGCAUUUCACAUCCAAGCACUGAUCCAAUGCAUGUAACACAGAAAUGGUAAAAAAAA
Molecule: long non-coding RNA, 376 nt
Organism: Xiphophorus hellerii (green swordtail)
Lineage: Eukaryota; Metazoa; Chordata; Actinopteri; Cyprinodontiformes; Poeciliidae
Exons: 2
Source: RefSeq, a predicted model, not a curated record